GACGAACCGUGCGAACGUUGUUCGGAAUCACUGGGCUUAAAGCGUGUGUAGGCGGACUUGUAAGUACCUUGUGAAAUCCCACGGCUCAACCGUGGAACUGCUUGGUAUACUGCUUGUCUUGAGCCACUUAGGGGCUACCGGAACAAAUGGUGGAGCGGUGAAAUGCGUAGAUAUCAUUUGGAACGCCAAUGGUGAAAACAGGUAGCUGGGAGUGUGCUGACGCUGAGACACGAAAGCCAGGGGAGCGAACGGG
RNAcentral lists this ribosomal RNA (253 nucleotides) under uncultured bacterium. Its description in RNAcentral is "partial 16S ribosomal RNA". It matches the Rfam family "Bacterial small subunit ribosomal RNA", at positions 524 to 776 of the family's 1533-position model. The record is from RNAcentral.